This 73-nucleotide transfer RNA is filed under the name Caudoviricetes sp. Its description in RNAcentral is "tRNA-Lys". It matches the Rfam family "tRNA". Rfam says of the family: Transfer RNA (tRNA) molecules are approximately 80 nucleotides in length. Their secondary structure includes four short double-helical elements and three loops (D, anti-codon, and T loops). The record is from RNAcentral. Lineage: Duplodnaviria; Heunggongvirae; Uroviricota; Caudoviricetes.
CGGGGUGUGGCGCAGAUGGAAGCGCAACGGACUUUUAAUCCGUGGGUCGUGAGUUCGAGUCUCACCGCUCCGA